Molecule: ribosomal RNA, 274 nt
Filed under: uncultured bacterium
Lineage: Bacteria
Description: partial 16S ribosomal RNA
Rfam family: Bacterial small subunit ribosomal RNA
Source: RNAcentral
AUACGGAGGGUGCAAGCGUUAUCCGGAUUCAGUGGGUUUAAAGGGUACGUAGGCGGAUAGAUAAGUUAGUGGUGAAAUCCCGAAGCUCAACUUCGGAACUGCCAUUAAAACUGUCUAUCUUGAAUUUGGUUGAAGUGGGCGGAAUAUGACAUGUAGCGGUGAAAUGCAUAGAUAUGUCAUGGAACACCGAUAGUGAAGACAGCUCACUAAGCCAAUAUUGACGCUGAGGUACGAAAGCAUGGGUAGCGAACAGGAUUAGAAACCCGAGUAGUCC